CUCUCAUUGGCUAGAAAUGACUAGUUACAGGUGAAACGAAACUUAACUCCGACUAUAAGUUGCAGCACAUAGCUUCAGCUCUCACAGUCACAACAGGGGACAAUUAACAGACACGUGCAACUACACUAAAAAGAUGGAACGAGGAAGAGGAAGGACUCUGAGUAUUCUGUUCCUGUUGACACUCUGUCUACAAGCCUUCACUGGUCAAUGCCAAGGUACACACACCAGUGCGCACACACACAUGCACAUACACACACCAGGGCCGUGGACAUACACACACCAGGGCCGUGGACAGACCUUUCAGUGGGCAGGUGCUCAAAAUGGAAAAAGGGUGACAUUCUGAAAAGACCAAAAGUCUGUACAUGUUAACAUCUUUGAACAUAGACCUAUGUAUUUCUGCAACAACACACUCAGUUCAGUGCCUCCUAAAGACAUGAUAGACAUGGGGAAAAGAAGGGGGUUAUCAGCUGAUCAUUGAUGUUAAUGGCAGAUGUUCAUCUGCUAGUUAGUGUAUUUAUUUUACUGAUUGUGAUUUACCUUUGUCUUUUCUUACCCUCUCUGCUCCUAUCAGCCAAUCAGACUGAAGUAUUUUCUUACCCUCUGUCACGCCCUGGUCUAAGUAUUUUGUGUUUUUCUUCAUGUAUUGGGUCAGGCCAGGGUGUGGCAUGGGGUUUUUGUAUUGUGGUGUGUUUUGUCUUGGGGUUUUGGUGUGUAUGUAUUGGGAUUGUAGCUAGUGGGGUUAUCUAGCAAAAUCUAUGGCUGUCUGGAGUGGUUCUCAAUCAGAGGCAGGUGUUUAUCGUUGUCUCUGAUUGGGAACCAUAUUUAGGCAGCCAUAUUCUUUGAGUUUGUCGUGGCUGAUUGUCCUAUGUGUCGUUGUUCCUCGCUCUGUGUUAGUUUACACAAGUAUAGGCUGUUUCGGUUUUCUUUACGUUCUUUGUUUUGUAGUGUUUUGUGUUUAUUCGUGUUUCACGUUGUUCAUUUGACAUGGAUCGCAAUCUACAAGCUGCAUUUUGCUCCGACUAUCCUUCACACCUAGAAAACCGUAACAGAAUCACCCACCACCAACGGACCAAGCAGCGUGUCAACAGGCAGGAGCAGCCCAAAGAGGAGAUGCGCAAUAAGGAUUUCUGGACAUGGGAGGAAAUCCUAAACGGAGAAGGACCCUGGGCUCAGCCUGGAGAAUAUCGCCGCCCCAAAGAAGAACUGGAGGCGGUGAAAGCGGAGAGGCGCCGGUAUGAGGAGGCAGCACGGCGACUCGGAUGGAAGGCUGAGAGUCAGCCCCAAAAAUUUCUUGGGGGGGCUCAGGGAGAGUGUGGCAGAAUCAGGAGUCAGACCUGAGCCAACUCUCCCUGUUUAUCGUGAGGAGCCAAGGAGGAGACCAGAGCCGGUGUUGGAGGUGAGCGAAGCAGAGACUGUGAAGGAGUUAAUGGGGAAAUUGGAGGAGAGAGAAAUGAGGGAGUUGCUGUGUUGGUGCUUUUUGCAUGGAAUUCGCCCGACGGAACGUGUCGGGGAUUUGAUGGCACCUGGGUUAGCGCUCCAUACUCGUCCUGAGGUGCGUGUUAGUCGGCUGGUGAAGUUGGUGCCAGCCUCACGCACCAGGCCUCCUGUGCACAUCCCUAGCCUUGCACGUCCUGUGCCAGCACUGCUCUCAAGAUCUCCAGUAUGCCUUCACGGUCUAGACCAUCCUGUGCCACCUCCACACUCCAGCCCUCCGGUAGCAGCUCCCCGCACCAGGCUUCCUGUGCGUGUUCUCGAUUCAGUGCCACCAGUACCAGCACCACGCAUCAAGCCUACAGUGCGCCUCGCCUCUCCAGCGCUGCCAGAGCCUUUCUCCUCUCCUGCGCUGCUGGAGUCUCCCGCCUGUUCAGCGCUGCCGGAGCCU
Molecule: long non-coding RNA, 1882 nt
Organism: Oncorhynchus tshawytscha (Chinook salmon)
Lineage: Eukaryota; Metazoa; Chordata; Actinopteri; Salmoniformes; Salmonidae
Source: Ensembl